RNAcentral lists this transfer RNA (69 nucleotides) under Phyllomedusa tarsius (brownbelly leaf frog). RNAcentral's name for it is "tRNA-Val". It matches the Rfam family "tRNA". From Rfam's summary of the family: Transfer RNA (tRNA) molecules are approximately 80 nucleotides in length. Their secondary structure includes four short double-helical elements and three loops (D, anti-codon, and T loops). Lineage: Eukaryota; Metazoa; Chordata; Amphibia; Anura; Hylidae. The record is from RNAcentral.
CAAAAUGUAGCUUAAUCAAAGCAUUUCACUUACACUGAAAACAUGUCCGUUAAACCCGAACCAUUUUGA